This 77-nucleotide transfer RNA is filed under the name Podarcis lilfordi (Lilford's wall lizard). RNAcentral describes it as "tRNA.Ser". The record is from RNAcentral. Lineage: Eukaryota; Metazoa; Chordata; Lepidosauria; Squamata; Lacertidae.
GGGGAUGGACUGUAGCUCAGUGGUACAGCAUCUGCUUUGAAUUCAGAAGGUCCCUGGUUCAAUCCCCAACAUCUCCA